AUGGUUUUAUUUCUAUAUAAAAAUAGCAAGGAUAACAAAUAACAUAUAUAAUAUAAAAUUAUAUCCAUGAUUUAGAACUCAAUCACAUCAAACAUUACCUUUGUUCAUUCAUUUUUUAAGCAAUGUAUCUAUCAAGUAAAAGUCAAACAUCUUAAAACUUUAGGGAGAUCACUAACUCUUAAAAAAUGCUUUUCAUAAUAGGACAUGAUAUAAAUCAUCUUAUCAAACAACAAAAUACAUCAACAAACAAACUCUAAACAAAACUACAAGACUAAAAUAAGCUAAAAGAAAAUGAUAAAAUUAAAAAAAAAUAUGGUAUAGCUGUACUAACAGGAGACAUCAGGCUUGCCAAGACUUUGAUUAGCUUGCUUGCUUAUUUGUUUAUUGUACAAUUGUAAAUGGGAUAAUAUGCAAUCAAAUUUGAAUAUAAUAUUAACGGGUAAAAAUAUGCCUAUAUAUAUUGUUAGAAGAUGUCAAUCUUUAUUACAAAGCUAGAAUUACCAUUUAUACAAACAGAGCAAGCAAGCAUACCAAAAUUUUACUCUACAUGCAUUAGGAAAUAAGCUGUAACGCAUUGGGGAUUUAAAAAAUGACAGGUAUUGACUGUACUUUUGCGAUCCCUAAUUAUAUAAACUAUUUACCUCAAAACAGAUAUCCAAACCAUUAAUAAGGCAUAUAAGUAUAUAUACAUAUUCUGUAAAUUCAGAAAUUAUUGCAUGCAUUCAUUUUUGCAUUUUUUGAAAAGUGGACAAAAAUGUGAGAUUAAUUAUAGCGAUUAAAAGGAAGAUCUCCAAACAGAUGUAUCUAUCAGGUAACAGAUUGCAAGUUCUUAUUAUUGCUAUUCUCACCCAGUUACAUUAUUAUUUGCAUCAAUAAAUACCUGGUACUAAUUUCUGAAAUUAUAGUACUUAUGUUAGUAAAAAAAACAUGGAGAUUAAGAAAAGUUGGCAGGUAUGACACUGAGUCAUACUUACAUUAAAAUGCUCUUAAAAUAGUUAUAUAUGAAUGGAAAUAUAAAAA
This 1020-nucleotide long non-coding RNA is filed under the name Mytilus galloprovincialis (Mediterranean mussel). Lineage: Eukaryota; Metazoa; Mollusca; Bivalvia; Mytilida; Mytilidae. The record is from RNAcentral.